Molecule: non-coding RNA, 111 nt
Organism: Acanthosepion pharaonis
Lineage: Eukaryota; Metazoa; Mollusca; Cephalopoda; Sepiida; Sepiidae
Source: the annotation of a GenBank genome assembly
UACAGCCAUAUCAUGUUGAAACACUAGUUCUCAUACAAUCACCAAAGUUAAGCAAUGUUGUGCCUAGCCAGUACCUAGAUGGGUGACCACUUGAGAAAAUCCACAUGAUGC